RNAcentral lists this ribosomal RNA (501 nucleotides) under uncultured bacterium. RNAcentral describes it as "partial 16S ribosomal RNA". It matches the Rfam family "Bacterial small subunit ribosomal RNA", at positions 30 to 523 of the family's 1533-position model. The record is from RNAcentral.
AUUGAACGCUGGCGGCAAGCUUAACACAUGCAAGUCGAGCGGGGGAAGGUAGCUUGCUACCGGACCUAGCGGCGGACGGGUGAGUAAUGCUUAGGAAUCUGCCUAUUAGUGGGGGACAACAUCUCGAAAGGGAUGCUAAUACCGCAUACGUCCUACGGGAGAGAGCAGGGGAUCUUCGGACCUUGCGCUAAUAGAUGAGCCUAAGUCGGAUUAGCUAGUUGGUGGGGUAAAGGCCUACCAAGGCGACGAUCUGUAGCGGGUCUGAGAGGAUGGGCCGCCGAACUGGGAGUGGAAAACAGACCAGACUCCUGCGGGGGGAAGCAGUGGGGACUAUUGGACAAUGGGGGGAACCCUGAUCCAGCCAGGCCGCGUGUGUGAAGAAGGCCUUAUGGUUGUAAAGCAACUUAAGCGAGGAGGAGGCUACUUUAGUUAAUACCUAGAGAUAGUGGACGUUACUCGCAGAAUAAGCACCGGCUAACUCUGUGCCAGCCGCCGCGGUAA